AAGUUCCACCUCUUCCACGAAGCCCUCCUUGAUUGCUGGGCCCUGGUUGAACUCCUUAUUAGUAACACCCAGGUUAGUCCUACUUAAUUCUUACCUGCAGCCAAAGUGGACUUAGCAUCUCCUUGCAUGCCUGGUAAAGUCAAGGGUUUUCAGCCAGGGCCUGUGUAUAAAGCAGAAGCAGCACAGAGUCUGGUUUGAAGCUUAGUGCUUGGGUUCAGACAGUUGUGGGUUACAAUCCCUUCUACACAUGUUCUCUGUGGAAACCAUUUGGUUCUCUGUGCUUGGAACUCGCCUGCAACGGGACAAAGCCAUCUCACCUAGACUGUUGUUAUGAAGAUUGAAUUAGGUGAUUCUGAGAGGCAUUUAUGCGUCCUCCCUGAGUAACAAUCCAUGAAAAGUGGGCGUCAUUGCUGAAGCUCAAGGAAGAAAUAUGAAAUUUGAUUAUAUCCUUAUUCACGGCAUUGGGUCACCAACUCAGCACUUUUUAUGAAAGUAGCAUCUGACCUGGCAAAGGCUGUGUCAUCUUAUUACCUCAGAAAGACAAAUUUACGGGGUCAGACGAUGGAUGGCUUGUAGAUUUCUCAAUGGGCUGGAAGGAAGGAGAGAAAAAGAGAGACAGGAGAGAGUACACAUUUAAUUCUGCUUCCCCUAGGGUGAUAUUUCCUUCCUCCCCUUCCAGGGUUCUCAAAAAGGCAUUCUAGGAAGUCCUGUAAAAUACAUGCUCAUAAAAAUCUCAUAAUUUCCACAAAUUGUUGAGAAUUUAAAACUCGGUUGGGAGUUUGCUGUUUCAGCCUGAGACACCGGGGUCACGUUUCAGUGCCUGCAGUCUUGAGACAGUACCAGGCAUCUGGGAUGAAGCUGAGGAAAGAAGAUGUGGGGGCCCUGCUGGCCUGCUCCUUCUCUCGAAAGACGCUUACCGGCUGCUGGUGUGUCACAGGGCUUUAGGAUUUGGAAAAACAGAGGGAUUUAAAAGAAGAUAGAAUGGUCAGAAUUUCGAGAACUGUGUGCUGAAGUGCCAUCUUUAGGGUGCUCAUAACACGGCCUUACAACAUUAGAGGUGCUGGAAUCAUGGAAGAGGCAUCUGGACUCUGUAAUGUCCUUCCCCCUGGAAAAUCUGCUCCAGAAGUGGGGGAUUGGGAGCUGUCAACAUAUGAGCCAUCUUUUGCUCCGUUCAAGAUGGUAGGGGCAUUCUCAACAUGCCCCUCACUCUGAUUCUGCCUCACUUUUAUUUUAGAAUUUUCCACUGCCUUUUCUGGAAUGUGCUUUUUCAACCCUCAAAAUCUGUAGAGAAGAAAUAAGCAGAAACCGAAAUGGCUUUCUGGUGUUCUCCAUGCUCUCAGCUUACUGGAAAAUCGAGCCGCAGGCUCGAGGCUGGACUUUAAGGCAGAGCACUGCAAUUAUAGUGCUAUGGCCUUGGCUUCCUUUCUCAUCACCCAGGUACAGUCCUGCAGUCCUCAGAGGAUGCCAGUCCCACACAGGGGGAUCCUUCUCCAUAGGAAAACCGAGGAACAAUGCAGGUUCGAGGUGCACAGUGGCUAAGCACACUCAGUCCUCAAGAUCUUUCCUCUCAAAUGCUAAUGCUACCUUCAGAUGGGCUGCUGCCUGCUACCAUUUCAACAUUGAGUCCUUUAAGAUGCCAUCAGAGAGAGGGGAAGCAAGAGGCCAAGAAAAAUGAAAGACUGUACAAGAAGCAUAGUGUCAGGAACUGCUUCUGGAGAGGCCUCAGGAAGCCUUUACUCAUGGCAGAAGGCAAAGCCGGAGUGGAUGUGUCACAUGGCGAGAGAAGACGCAACAGAUGGGAGAGGUUUCAGACUCUUUAAUAAGCAGCUCUCCCGCAGCAGCAAGUCACGCAUGAGGGAACUGCUCCAUGACCCAGACACCUCCCACCAGUCCCUGCCUCCAACACUGGGGAUCACAUUUCAACAGGAGAUGUGGAGGCCACAAA
Molecule: long non-coding RNA, 1945 nt
Organism: Homo sapiens (human)
Lineage: Eukaryota; Metazoa; Chordata; Mammalia; Primates; Hominidae
Product: long intergenic non-protein coding RNA 1622
Source: Ensembl